AUAUUUUUAAUAUAACUAGUAUAUAUGACUUCCAAUCAUAAAGACCACUUUUAGUGGAAAAUAUA
Molecule: transfer RNA, 65 nt
Filed under: Tomocerus qinae
Lineage: Eukaryota; Metazoa; Arthropoda; Collembola; Entomobryomorpha; Tomoceridae
Description: tRNA-Gly
Source: RNAcentral